Molecule: unclassified non-coding RNA, 158 nt
Filed under: uncultured Diaporthe
Lineage: Eukaryota; Fungi; Ascomycota; Sordariomycetes; Diaporthales; Diaporthaceae
Description: sequence contains ITS2
Source: RNAcentral
CAACCCCUCUGUACCCUUGGGUAUAGGUGUUGGGGACCCGCGGAAACGCGGCCCCCUAAAGACAUUGGCGGACCUCUCACGGUAUCCGAGCGCAGUAAUAACAUUCUCGCUCCGGGAACCUGGGAUGGCUUCCUGCCGUUAAACCCCCAAAUUUCUAA